Pelobates cultripes (western spadefoot toad) is the source of this 461-nucleotide non-coding RNA. Lineage: Eukaryota; Metazoa; Chordata; Amphibia; Anura; Pelobatidae. The record is from the annotation of a GenBank genome assembly.
CCUGACUCGGUUACAAGCCAGGAAACCUUUAUUUCAAGAGCAGGUUUACUGCUUGAUGAUUUCCUUAUAAAAUAUAAUAAAAGCUGUCAAAGCAUUGGAUGUACAAAGGCAAUAAAUAUCAGUUCAUCCUCAACAGUGGUGCCAAUGUUUAUGUCUACAGAGAAGGUUUCAGUAGUUAGAUCUGAGGACAAUGAUCCAAUAAACAAGUCCAACGUAGGCUUCUCACAAAGCAAUAAAAGCCAUCUUACCACAUCCCCUGAAUUGCAGAUUGAAUUAAACCCAAGCCCAACAUCUGCCAACAGUAGCUUCCUCUUAAAAACACAUUCACUGUUGGAACAAACUAAUUUCCUUCCUACAAAUGAAACUAGCAAAGGUGUAAUAUCAAAAUCUGUGUUUCAAUCACUGACAAAUCCAGAUUUAGAAGCAACCCAUUUAGAUGGGAACAUAACUCCAAUUGUUGA